UUGCUUGGUAUCAAUCAGCUGAAUGAAUCUCAUGAAUCUCAUUCCAGCCUAAAUAACAUGACAAACACUGGCCCAUAUGGUUAAUCAAUUAUCCAAAUUUUGCCAUUCGGCUGAUACAAAUAACACGUGACCGGAAAUGACGUUUUCCCCUCAGUCCAUCUCAUUUCAUCCCAGGUAAAGCCAAAGUAUGGAUCAGUAUAUUUGUACCUCUCACGUACCAACCAAUCCCCAGGACCUGACAACUAUGACUUCAAGAUCGAAGUUUCUGAUGCUGAUGCAUCAAUUUCCAGGAAGAAGAGAUCAAACACCAUUAUCCAAGGAAACUCGAGGACUCUACAAUUCUACAACCUUUGUAAAGGAUAUAAUGAAACAAAUUGUCCUCCUUUGUAUUUUGCUGUUGUUGGGAAAAAUUCUUCA
Long non-coding RNA from Actinia tenebrosa (Australian red waratah sea anemone), 417 nucleotides. Lineage: Eukaryota; Metazoa; Cnidaria; Anthozoa; Actiniaria; Actiniidae. The record is from RefSeq and is a predicted model, not a curated record.